AUUGAACGCUGGCGGCAGGCCUAACACGUGCAAGUCGAGCGGAUGAAGGGAGCUUGCUCCUGGAUUCAGCGGCGGACGGGUGAGUAAUGCCUAGGAAUCUGCCUGGUAGUGGGGGAUAACGUCCGGAAACGGGCGCUAAUACCGCAUACGUCCUGAGGGAGAAAGUGGGGGAUCUUCGGACCUCGCGCUAUCAGAUGAGCCUAGGUCGGAUUAGCUAGUUGGUGGGGUAAAGGCCUACCAAGGCGACGAUCCGUAACUGGUCUGAGAGGAUGAUCAGUCACACUGGAACUGAGACACGGUCCAGACUCCUACGGGAGGCAGCAGUGGGGAAUAUUGGACAAUGGGCGAAAGCCUGAUCCAGCCAUGCCGCGUGUGUGAAGAAGGUCUUCGGAUUGUAAAGCACUUUAAGUUGGGAGGAAGGGCAGUAAGUUAAUACCUUGCUGUUUUGACGUUACCAACAGAAUAAGCACCGGCUAACUUCGUG
This 484-nucleotide ribosomal RNA is filed under the name uncultured bacterium. RNAcentral describes it as "partial 16S ribosomal RNA". It matches the Rfam family "Bacterial small subunit ribosomal RNA", at positions 30 to 507 of the family's 1533-position model. The record is from RNAcentral.